AACGAACGCUGGCGGCAUGCCUAACACAUGCAAGUCGAACGAGACCUUCGGGUCUAGUGGCGCACGGGUGCGUAACGCGUGGGAACCUGCCCUUAGGGUCGGCAUAACUCCCCGAAAGGGGUGCUAAUACCGGAUAAUGUCUUCGGACCAAAGAUUUAUCGCCUUUGGAUGGGCCCUCGUUGGAUUAGCUAGUUGGUAGGGUAAAAGCCUACCAAGGCGACGAUCCAUAGCUGGUCUGAGAGGAUGAUCAGCCACUCUGAGACUGAGACACGGCCCAGAAUCCUACGGGAAGCAGCAGUGGGGGAUAUUGGACAAUGGGCGAAAGCAUGAUCCAGCUAUGCCGCGUGAGUGAUGAAGGCCUUAGGGUUGUAAUGCUCUUUUACCCGGGAUGAUAAUGACAGUACCGGGAGAAUAAGCUCCGGCUAACUCCGUG
This 433-nucleotide ribosomal RNA is filed under the name uncultured bacterium. RNAcentral describes it as "partial 16S ribosomal RNA". It matches the Rfam family "Bacterial small subunit ribosomal RNA", at positions 29 to 507 of the family's 1533-position model. The record is from RNAcentral.